UGGGGAAUAUUGCACAAUGGGGGAAACCCUGAUGCAGCGACGCCGCGUGAACGAAGAAGGUAUUCGUAUCGUAAAGUUCUGUCCUAUGGGAAGAUAAUGACAGUACCAUAGAAGAAAGCUCCGGCUAAAUACGUGCCAGCAGCCGCGGUAAUACGUAUGGAGCGAGCGUUGUCCGGAAUUAUUGGGCGUAAAGGGUACGCAGGCGGUUUAAUAAGUCGAAUGUUAAAGAUCGGGGCUCAACCCCGUAAAGCAUUGGAAACUGAUAAACUUGAGUAGUGGAGAGGAAAGUGGAAUUCCUAGUGUAGUUGUGAAAUACGUAGAUAUUAGGAGGAAUACCAGUAGCGAAGGCGACUUUCUGGACACAAACUGACGCUGAGGUACGAAAGCGUGGGGAGCAAACAGG
This 403-nucleotide ribosomal RNA is filed under the name bacterium. RNAcentral describes it as "partial 16S ribosomal RNA". It matches the Rfam family "Bacterial small subunit ribosomal RNA", at positions 355 to 776 of the family's 1533-position model. The record is from RNAcentral.